This 254-nucleotide ribosomal RNA is filed under the name uncultured bacterium. RNAcentral's name for it is "partial 16S ribosomal RNA". It matches the Rfam family "Bacterial small subunit ribosomal RNA", at positions 524 to 777 of the family's 1533-position model. The record is from RNAcentral.
UACGUAGGGGACGAGCGUUGUCCGGAUUCAUUGGGCGUAAAGGGCGCGUAGGCGGCUUUGCAAGUGGCGGGUGAAAUCCCUCGGCUUAACCGAGGAACUGCCUGCCAGACUGUGAGGCUUGAGACCGGGAGAGGUGAGUGGAAUUCCCAGUGUAGCGGUGAAAUGCGUAGAUAUUGGGAGGAACACCAGUGGCGAAGGCGGCUCACUGGACCGGAACUGACGCUGAGGCGCGAAAGCGUGGGGAGCAAACAGGG